Balaenoptera musculus (blue whale) is the source of this 1536-nucleotide long non-coding RNA. RefSeq lists it as uncharacterized. NCBI's taxonomy places the organism in Eukaryota, Metazoa, Chordata, Mammalia, Artiodactyla, Balaenopteridae. The record is from RefSeq and is a predicted model, not a curated record. The transcript is spliced from 3 exons.
CCUGAAACUAACACAACAUUGUUAAUCAACUAUACUCCAAUAUAAAAUUAAAAUUUAAAAAAAAAACUAGUUAGCUCUACCAAGCCAUACUGUGGGACCAAAGGCAAAGAGCUGACCAGAAAAGGAAACUAGGUUGCAGGGGUUAUACUUUUUCAGAUCAGCUAAGAGCACUGUGCACAAUGUUUAAGGUGUUCCUAAGUGUGGGAAAUAUUAGGAAGGAGUGUGGGCAAUCUGAAAACCCAGGCACCCUUGAGCUAUAGUGAGGACCAGUCUAAACAUAAAAUGCUCGUGCACACCAGAAUGAACCAAAGGGCACUUGUGCUACUUACAACAAGCCACACAAGAAGGUACUCUCUGAACCCCCGUGUCCUGUGAUUGCUUUGCUAAACACAAUGUGAUCUGUGGACCAGCAGUCUCAGCCCCACCUACCACAGAAGAACGUCUUAGAAAUACAGCAUCUCCAGCCCCACUCCAGGCCUCCUGCGGCCCUGUGCACACCAGCACUGCCGCCCCUGAAAGCUCUGGACAGAGGGCCUCCUCCCAGUGGGGGUUCCACCCAUUGCUCCUAACAGGACUUGUCUAGGGUCAAGGAGAUACUGAAUUAGAAACCUGACUUGGGACCCCAAUUCCAAAGGGAGUGAAGGAGGUCAAAGAAAAGAAAGGGAAAGGAAGGCACCUGGGCCAGCACUUUCCUGUUUGAGGCUAGGAUGGGUAUGGCAGUCAGGCCAGGUGCCCACCUGGUGCCCACCUGGCCAGCCAGUUUCAUCAGGAGGAAGCCAGAGGGGUGCUAAGGCAGGCUGCUCAGCCCAGGGGCGCAGGCUGCAGGAUGGAUGCAGCUGUGGACUGUGAGACAGGCCCCCAGGUGGGAAGCUCAAUGGAAGAGGGAACUAGGCUUGAGUGCGGCUUGAGCUUCUGCAGAGGGGCAGAGAGAGGGAGGGAGGGAGGGAGGGAGAGGGAGAGAGAGUCCCAGAUGUCAGACAGAGACUGACAGCAGGGGCAGAGGAUCAGACAUUGGACUGCCCGGCAGUUCCCCUGCCAGAGAGGGAGGACACGGCCAAGGGCUGACCCAUGUGCCAAAUGCUGCAGGUGGGCCCAGCAAGAUGAGAGCUGAAAACUGACUGCUGAGUUCAGCUGUGGGGACCUCGGUGCUGAUGAUUGUGCCCAGGGUUGUCAGAUGGGGGAGCACUGGAUGAGAAGCAAUGACCCAUGAUGGAUUGGGAAUGUUUUUUAAAACCAGUCUUUCACCACCAAUAGUUUGAGAAGCACCACUGAGGACGGCAGAGGACCUUCAAAGUUUUAUGACAAAUGACAUGCGACAAGAUUCUACUUUUCCUAGAUGUAACGCUUGGGGUAGAUUGAAGUGGAGAGAAAAUGGAGAAAGAGACACCAAGUGGGAGGCUCCCAGGUCCGUCUGGGUGGGAGCCAAUAAAGGCCAGUGGGAGCAGAGAUCAAUAUUCUAUUAUAACCUAAAUGGGAAAAGAAUUUGAAAAAGAAUAGAUACAUGUAUAUGUAUAACUGAAUCACUUUGCUGUACAC